RNAcentral lists this ribosomal RNA (490 nucleotides) under Ascomycota sp. MIB05. RNAcentral describes it as "eukaryotic LSU rRNA". The stretch from base 138 to 291 matches the Rfam family "5.8S ribosomal RNA". Lineage: Eukaryota; Fungi; Ascomycota. The record is from RNAcentral.
CUGUGACAUACCUAUAAUUUGCCUCUUGCAGACUCAACGACGGUGCUCCGAGAAACGGGCGCCGCUCGCUGCCAGAGGAACCCCAAACUCUAUGUAUUCUUGUGGAUCUUCUGAGUAAAACAAAACAAAUAAAUCAAAACUUUCAACAACGGAUCUCUUGGUUCUGGCAUCGAUGAAGAACGCAGCGAAAUGCGAUAAGUAAUGUGAAUUGCAGAAUUCAGUGAAUCAUCGAAUCUUUGAACGCACAUUGCGCCCGCCAGUAUUCUGGCGGGCAUGCCUGUUCGAGCGUCAUUUCAACCCUCAAGCCCUAGGGCUUGGUGUUGGGGAUCGGCGAUAAUCGCCGUCCCCCAAAUCUAGUGGCGGUCUCGCUGUAGCCUCCAUUGCGUAAUAGCUAACACCUCGCAACUGGAACACGGCGCGGACAAGAAAAUUAAACCCCCCAACUUCUGAAUGUUGACCUCGGAUCAGGUAAGAAUACCCGCUGAACUUA